GUUGGAGCAGAUUACUCCUCACAGCUCUUUUUAAAGCGGCGCGAUUUGGAGCUUUUAAACUGUGGAUUUGUUUGGCCACCAAGUGGAUCUGAGGCUCAGGCUGGGGCGAGGCGGACCGCAAAUGUCACUUGUUAUUUUAAAGCUGGGCUGUAACAAGGCUGCAGCUGCAUCCUAAAUGAGGUGUGAUGGACGUCAGAUGAGCCCUGCAGCACGCUUGGUUCGUCCGCAGCAGAUCAGCUCUCGUCCUGCAGGAGGUCUGAGACGGUCCAGGCGGCUGACAGAGGCGAUGUGUGUUGAACUUGUUGUUGCAUUGAACUAGACUCACUCAUCAUUGUCCCUUUAAGGAUUGCCUUGACUUCUCUGUGGUGCAAUGGCAUAUAAAAAGUUAGUGUGGAGUUUUUCCAGACAGGCUGGAGUUGACUUCCAUCGUAGCCACACUCAGAGGUAAAGAGGUCAGUGUAGUAGAGACGCUGAGGAAGUGGCUCCAUCCAUUUGGACUUCAUCAGCUUGUUCUCACUUUACGUUUAUAGAGUUUAUAUCGGGUAUACUUAUACUAUGUGUCAAUAAACAUAAUACAUUAAUAGACAGAUGAACCAAGAGGCUUUUAAACGAAAUAAAAGAAAUAAGAAAAAAUGA
Acanthopagrus latus (yellowfin seabream) is the source of this 636-nucleotide long non-coding RNA. RefSeq lists it as uncharacterized. The record is from RefSeq and is a predicted model, not a curated record. Lineage: Eukaryota; Metazoa; Chordata; Actinopteri; Spariformes; Sparidae. The transcript is spliced from 2 exons.